AACGAACGCUGGCGGCAUGCCUAACACAUGCAAGUCGAACGAGACCUUCGGGUCUAGUGGCGCACGGGUGCGUAACGCGUGGGAACCUGCCCUUAGGUUCGGAAUAACUCCCCGAAAGGGGUGCUAAUACCGGAUAAUGUCUUCGGACCAAAGAUUUAUCGCCUUUGGAUGGGCCCGCGUUGGAUUAGCUAGUUGGUAGGGUAAAAGCCUACCAAGGCGACGAUCCAUAGCUGGUCUGAGAGGAUGAUCAGCCACACUGGGACUGAGACACGGCCCAGACUCCUACGGGAGGCAGCAGUGGGGAAUAUUGGACAAUGGGCGAAAGCCUGAUCCAGCAGUGCCGCGUGAGUGAUGAAGGCCUUAGGGUUGUAAAGCUCUUUUACCCAGGAUGAUAAUGACAGUACCGGGAGAAUAAGCUCCGGCUAACUCCGUG
This 433-nucleotide ribosomal RNA is filed under the name uncultured bacterium. Its description in RNAcentral is "partial 16S ribosomal RNA". It matches the Rfam family "Bacterial small subunit ribosomal RNA", at positions 29 to 507 of the family's 1533-position model. The record is from RNAcentral.